GAUGAAGAACGUAGCGAUAUGCGAUACUUGGUGUGAAUUGCAGAAUCCCGUGAACCAUCGAGUCUUUGAACGCAAGUUGCGCCUCAAGCCAUUAGGUUGAGGGCACGUCUGCCUGGGCGUCACAUAUCGUUGCCUGAUGCCAGUUUCCUCGUGAUGGGUGACUGUGCAGGGCGAAUGAUGGCUUCCCGUGAGCAUUGUUGCCUCAUGGUUGGUUGAAAAUUGAGUCCUUGGUAGGGAGCGCCGUGAUAGAUGGUGGUUGAGUGACGAACGAGACCCAAUCAUGUGAGACCCCUACCGAAUUUGGCCUUCAUGACCCACAUGCGUCUUUGGAACGCUCAUGACGAGACCUCAGGUCAGGCGGGGCUACCCGCUGAGUUUAAGCAUAUCAAUAAGCGGAGGA
This 400-nucleotide unclassified non-coding RNA is filed under the name soil metagenome. RNAcentral describes it as "partial contains 5.8S ribosomal RNA, internal transcribed spacer 2, and large subunit ribosomal RNA". The stretch from base 1 to 122 matches the Rfam family "5.8S ribosomal RNA", at positions 35 to 154 of the family's 154-position model. The record is from RNAcentral.